This 519-nucleotide ribosomal RNA is filed under the name Chtenopteryx sicula. RNAcentral describes it as "partial 16S ribosomal RNA". It matches the Rfam family "Bacterial large subunit ribosomal RNA", at positions 1817 to 2600 of the family's 2925-position model. The record is from RNAcentral. Lineage: Eukaryota; Metazoa; Mollusca; Cephalopoda; Oegopsida; Chtenopterygidae.
GUCUCUUUGUUUUUGCUUAUAUAAAGAGUUGGGCCUGCUCGGUGAAAUUUUUUAACAGCUGCGGUAUUUUAACUGUACUAAGGUAGCAUAAUAAUUUGCCUUAUAAUUUGAGGCUAGAAUGAAUGGUUUGACGAAGGUUAAUCUGUCUCUACUUUAUUUUUUAGAAUUUAAUUUUUAUAGUGAAAAAGCUUGUAUUUUUUUAAGGGACGAGAAGACCCUAUUGAGCUUAUAAUUUUAUUAUUGUUAUGUAUUUAUAUUAGUGUAACAUUAUAUAAAUUUUAAUUGGGGUGAUUAAGGAAUAAAAGUGUAUGUAUAUUAACUUCCUUAGCUAUAAUUAUAUUGUUGAAUAAAGUAACCAAUAAUUUAUUGCUUUUAUAGUAGUUACCAUAGGGAUAACAGCGUAAUUUAUUUAGAGAGUUCUUAUUGAAAAAUGAGAUUGCGACCUCGAUGUUGGAUUAAAGUUACCUUAAGGUGUAGAAGCUUUAUUAGGUGAAUCUGUUCGAUUUUUAAAACUUUACA